RNAcentral lists this ribosomal RNA (893 nucleotides) under uncultured bacterium. RNAcentral describes it as "bacterial SSU rRNA". It matches the Rfam family "Bacterial small subunit ribosomal RNA", at positions 8 to 916 of the family's 1533-position model. The record is from RNAcentral.
AGAGUUUGAUCAUGGCUCAGGACGAACGCUGGCGGCGUGCUUAACACAUGCAAGUCGAACGGUAAGGCCCCUUCGGGGGUACACGAGUGGCGAACGGGUGAGUAACACGUGGGUAAUCUGCCCUGCACUUCGGGAUAAGCCUGGGAAACUGGGUCUAAUACCGGAUAUGACUCCUGGCCGCAUGGUCUGGGAGUGGAAAGUUUUUCGGUGCAGGAUGAGCCCGCGGCCUAUCAGCUUGUUGGUGGGGUAAUGGCCUACCAAGGCGACGACGGGUAGCCGGCCUGAGAGGGUGAUCGGCCACACUGGGACUGAGACACGGCCCAGACUCCUACGGGAGGCAGCAGUGGGGAAUAUUGCACAAUGGGCGGAAGCCUGAUGCAGCGACGCCGCGUGGGGGAUGACGGUCUUCGGAUUGUAAACCCCUUUCAGUAGGGACGAAGCGCAAGUGACGGUACCUGCAGAAGAAGCACCGGCUAACUACGUGCCAGCAGCCGCGGUAAUACGUAGGGUGCGAGCGUUGUCCGGAAUUACUGGGCGUAAAGAGCUCGUAGGCGGUUUGUCACGUCGUCUGUGAAAUCCCUCGGCUUAACCGGGGGCGUGCAGGCGAUACGGGCAGACUUGAGUACUACAGGGGAGACUGGAAUUCCUGGUGUAGCGGUGAAAUGCGCAGAUAUCAGGAGGAACACCGGUGGCGAAGGCGGGUCUCUGGGUAGUAACUGACGCUGAGGAGCGAAAGCAUGGGUAGCGAACAGGAUUAGAUACCCUGGUAGUCCAUGCCGUAAACGGUGGGCGCUAGGUGUGGGGUCCUUCCACGGACUCCGUGCCGUAGCUAACGCAUUAAGCGCCCGCCUGGGGAGUACGGCCGCAAGGCUAAAACUCAAAGGAAUUGACGG